Molecule: RNA transcript, 1673 nt
Organism: Mobula hypostoma (lesser devil ray)
Lineage: Eukaryota; Metazoa; Chordata; Chondrichthyes; Myliobatiformes; Myliobatidae
Gene name: transmembrane protein 154-like
Exons: 6
Source: RefSeq, a predicted model, not a curated record
GGCAAAGACGUCCCAAUCCUGUCAGGUGCCCCAUGGUCACGGGACAGUAACAGACAGCAUGUCAGAAUCGCCACUCAGACAUCCCUCCUGCCCGGGAAGGAACCUGCACACUGGGGGUGCAGUGGCACCUCCGAUCUGAACACAAUGUGCUUCGAACCGAUAUCGAAUGAUAUGUCGGCAAGUGGAAAUGAAAAGCUUCACAAAACAAGAACUCAAAACUAGGUUAUUCAUUAGGAAAAACUGAAGCAGCCACACCGGUGAGCCAUACAACUCAGUCUGCUAAUAAUGCAAAAGAUACGUUUGCUCCAACGUAUGCAAAUUUUACACAUCAUGCUCCCUGUGCCAACAACUCUCCGACAUCACAGCCAAGCAAGACGAUGUCAACAACAAUUUCACAGGAUUCAUCAGCACCGACGACUCUGGAGGAUAUCCACAAGGCAAAUAUCGCAAACAUCAACACCAAGGCAAAUGAACUGUUGAAAAGGACUGAAAAUUCUACAUAUGUAUUGAUGGCUUCAUUACCUUCUGAGAGUACUUUGCAGCCCUUAUCGAAGAACAACAAACUAAUUGGAAUGAUUUUGCUUCCAACUCUGAUCCUUUUUCUGCUUGGUUUAAUUAUUGCCAUUCUUUUGAAUUGUUAUCAUGGUAGAAAAAGGAUAAAUGAUGAAGUUAAUUGUGAAAAUCCAGCAAGCCCUAUAUUCGAGGAAGAUGUAGCUUCUGUGAUGGAAGUUGAGAUGGAAGAAGUCAACAAAUGGAUGGGCAGCAUGAAAGAAAAAUCUCAUCAAGAAAAUUCAUUAGACACCAGCAAAGACAAAAAUUAAAAUGCAGGGAUUUUGAACAGCUCUUUUGGAAUUUAAGAUAAAUGGAGUUAUGUGGCAGAGAAACAAGCUGUCCAGCCCAACUGAUGGCGGUCAAGAUUGCGCCUGUGUACAAUGCUCCUUUGGUCGACAACUUCUGGAUAGAUCAUGAAACAAUAUAUUUCACUUCUUUUACGUCUUUUCCAUUUGCUUUUCAUCUUGAAUGUGAAUCUGGGGCUGUUGGAGACUGUAAUUCGCUGUCUGGAGAUCGUUUGGGUGUUCCAGCGCUCUACAGUCUCCAAGAGGAUUCCAGGAGGCAGAGGUGGCGAGCGCGGGCAGGCUGUGGUACGGGACAUGAGCCGAUGUCUGACUCUAUUUCGCUGAUUAAAGCUUCCAUUAUUCGCCGAUUAAAGUGAUGAGGGAGAUUGAAACAUAGAGGUGAAUGCAGAAGUUUGGAGAUGGUUUGGGUUCUUCAGCACUCUGCAGUCUCCAAGAGGAUUCAGGGAGACAGAGGCAGUGUGCAUUAACCUUGUUAUGGGCAGGCUGUGGGAUGGGGCGCGAGCCAACAUUUGACUCCAAUUUGACAAUUAAAGUUUCCAUUGUUCACCGAUUAAAGCGACAAGGGAGAUUGAAGUAUCGAGGUAAGUGCAGAGGGUGAACACCGACUACCUGUCUUUUGAUCACUAAGGAUCACUCUGCUAUGCCACUGGAGAGGGGAGAACCUGCUACUGUGUCCAAAGAACGUCACCCAGGUUUUCUGCGUUUUGGAUGUGGACUUGGACUAUAGACUUUUUUUGCAGUCAUAGUUUUUUUAUAUUGUGUUUUUUUGCCCGAUCUUUCUAGUUCCUUUUUGUUCAUGGGGAGGGGGAUUUUGGG